Molecule: ribosomal RNA, 478 nt
Filed under: uncultured bacterium
Lineage: Bacteria
Description: partial 16S ribosomal RNA
Rfam family: Bacterial small subunit ribosomal RNA
Source: RNAcentral
GACGAACGCUGGCGGCGUGCUUAACACAUGCAAGUCGAACGGUAAGGCCCUUCGGGGUACACGAGUGGCGAACGGGUGAGUAACACGUGGGUGAUCUGCCCUGCACUUCGGGAUAAGCCUGGGAAACUGGGUCUAAUACCGGAUAGGACCACUGCCUGCAUGGGGGGUGGGGGAAAGCUUUUGCGGUGUGGGAUGGGCCCGCGGCCUAUCAGCUUGUUGGUGGGGUGAUGGCCUACCAAGGCGACGACGGGUAGCCGGCCUGAGAGGGUGACCGGCCACACUGGGACUGAGAUACGGCCCAGACUCCUACGGGAGGCAGCAGUGGGGAAUAUUGCACAAUGGGCGCAAGCCUGAUGCAGCGACGCCGCGUGAGGGAUGACGGCCUUCGGGUUGUAAACCUCUUUCAGCACCGACGAAGCGCAAGUGACGGUAGGUGCAGAAGAAGGACCGGCCAACUACGUGCCAGCCGCCGCGGUAA